RNAcentral lists this ribosomal RNA (766 nucleotides) under uncultured Streptococcus sp. RNAcentral's name for it is "bacterial SSU rRNA". It matches the Rfam family "Bacterial small subunit ribosomal RNA", at positions 28 to 776 of the family's 1533-position model. The record is from RNAcentral. Lineage: Bacteria; Bacillati; Bacillota; Bacilli; Lactobacillales; Streptococcaceae.
GACGAACCCUGGCGGCGUGCCUCAUACAUGCCAAGUAGAACGCUGAAGAGAGGAGCUUGCUCUUCUUGGAUGAGUUGCGAACGGGUGAGUAACGCGUAGGUAACCUGCCUGGUAGCGGGGGAUAACUAUUGGAAACGAUAGCUAAUACCGCAUGAAAUUCAUUGUCGCAUGAUAAUUAAUUGAAAGAUGCAAUUGCAUCACUACCAGAUGGACCUGCGUUGUAUUAGCUAGUUGGUGAGGUAACGGCUCACCAAGGCGACGAUACAUAGCCGACCUGAGAGGGUGAUCGGCCACACUGGGACUGAGACACGGCCCAGACUCCUACGGGAGGCAGCAGUAGGGAAUCUUCGGCAAUGGGGGGAACCCUGACCGAGCAACGCCGCGUGAGUGAAGAAGGUUUUCGGAUCGUAAAGCUCUGUUGUAAGAGAAGAACGGGUGUGAGAGUGGAAAGUUCACACUGUGACGGUAUCUUACCAGAAAGGGACGGCUAACUACGUGCCAGCAGCCGCGGUAAUACGUAGGUCCCGAGCGUUGUCCGGAUUUAUUGGGCGUAAAGCGAGCGCAGGCGGUUAGAUAAGUCUGAAGUUAAAGGCUGUGGCUUAACCAUAGUAUGCUUUGGAAACUGUUUAACUUGAGUGCAGAAGGGGAGAGUGGAAUUCCAUGUGUAGCGGUGAAAUGCGUAGAUAUAUGGAGGAACACCGGUGGCGAAAGCGGCUCUCUGGUCUGUAACUGACGCUGAGGCUCGAAAGCGUGGGGAGCAAACAGG